AACAGAAAUUAUUUAUCCACCUUGGCAAACUCACCUUCCACUUUUAACUCCAAUGCUGCCUCCUCUUGGUAAGAGUGAUCUCUGAAGAAGCAGGUGAAGCCUCCUUCAUCUGAGAACCUCACCUUCUGGAUCCUGAGGGUAACCUUUCCCUCACCGAUACUAUCUUUCAGAAGCUCUGUGCGUCCCCGAUAUUCAGGUGCCUGCUCUGCAUCUUGGUCUUUGCCAUUUCGGUAGAGAUGAACCACUCUAGAGAAGGGAGGACGGUACCACCCCACCUCCAUGCCCGAGGCAUUCUUCCCAGGAGAUAUGCGGCAUGGCAGUUCUGCUUCAUCCCCAACUAAAGCCCGGAUGGGAUGCCCUGGUCCUACCACUCUGAACUGUCCUGUCCAAGACAUCAAAGAAAAGAAACCAAGAGUCAGAUGUGACAAGUUCAUCAUAGGAAACUUACUUCAAAAAAAGAAUUUUGUGUCUGUGCCGGUGUGGGUGAAUGUAUUUCACCUUUGUAUGACUGCCCUUGGAAUGGAGAAGAGGCUGUAAGGUCCUCUGGAGCUGGGAUGACAGCUGUGUUUGUCUCUGACUCUUCAGCUCUGAUUCUCGCCUCCACCUUGGAAUGUGACCUGCUCCUCCUCAGUGCUUCCCAGCCCUCUGUCCUCACAUCUCCUUCCCUGUGAAGUCACGCACUCUGGAAAAACUGCGUCACUCUCCAGCCUCGCUCCAGCUCUGGAUCCUUCUCUGAACAUCUUCCCAGUGAGAUUCAGCUCCUGGCAAGUCGUCAAGCCUAGAGGCAACAAUCAACAAACAUUCAUUGAGAUGUACUACAAACAGGCACUGCAGUAAUGUGCAAAAGACUUCCUCGCAUUUGAAACUCUGACAGCAACUCCAAGAAUUUAGUUUUUUCUCUUUUGAAAGGUGAAAACCCAAACGAAGGCUGGCGGAUAGAGCUCAGUAGGAAAGCAUGAACUGAGCUUGCACAAGGCCCCGGGUUUGAUUCCCAGCACCGUAUGAAUAGGGGAAGUACGAGUUGGAUUCCACAGGAAGUCAGGAAGGUUUCUAAGGAGGGAAACUAUGCCAGCAGACUUAAGUGCAGAUGAGAAACUCAUAUAGACAGUUGAGAAUGAUUGAAGGAGCUAAGCCCAGAAUACCCCCUUUCUGUUCUUAGGUCUGUGUAGGGCUGGAAUUAGCAUGCUUACCUGCAUAGCUGGAUGCCAGCUGGAGGAGGAGGAGCAGGGGGAGGAGGCAGCUGGACAGAGAAAAGCUCCGCAAACUGGCCAUCAUCUUCACGGUUACUGGGGACAGAGUCCCUGGCAGCAGGGUCAGGCCACGCUGAGGCCCUCAGGCUGCAUGUCUCCUACUCCAAGAAGCCUGGGAGACUCUGGGAGGGCACUACUGCCCAGGCCCUACCUCCAUCCAGGCAUUACCACAGCUGUGCCCAGAGGAAUGGCCCCACGUCACCCCUGACAGACAUUUGCACAAAAGGACUACAGAUCCAUUGAUGACCAGGGUUUGCCUCCACACCCCCCUCACAGCAUUGGAGCAGUGGCUGACUGGUACUGGGCUGUUCCCCUUUUCCCCUCCCUGGACCCAGGCUUGGGAAGGGCAUGUAGUGGGUGUUCAGUGGUAAUCAGAGGGACUUGUUUGCGGAGUUUGUAAGGCUUCUCUAAUCCCUCUUGCUACCAAGAACUCUCUGGGGGAGAGUGAUUA
Molecule: long non-coding RNA, 1701 nt
Organism: Onychomys torridus (southern grasshopper mouse)
Lineage: Eukaryota; Metazoa; Chordata; Mammalia; Rodentia; Cricetidae
Exons: 4
Source: RefSeq, a predicted model, not a curated record